This 253-nucleotide ribosomal RNA is filed under the name uncultured bacterium. Its description in RNAcentral is "partial 16S ribosomal RNA". It matches the Rfam family "Bacterial small subunit ribosomal RNA", at positions 524 to 776 of the family's 1533-position model. The record is from RNAcentral.
UACGUAGGGGGCAAGCGUUGUCCGGAUUUAUUGGGCGUAAAGAGCGUGUAGGCGGCUUGGUAGGUCCGCUGUGAAAACUCGAGGCUCAACCUCGAGAUGUCGGCGGAAACCACUUGGCUAGAGUCCGGAAGAGGAGAGUGGAAUUCCCGGUGUAGCGGUGAAAUGCGUAGAGAUCCGGAGGAACACCAGAGGCGAAGGCGGCCGGCUGGACCUGACCUGACGCUGAGGCACGAAGGCGUGGGGAGCGAACGGG